RNAcentral lists this ribosomal RNA (470 nucleotides) under Escherichia coli. RNAcentral describes it as "bacterial SSU rRNA". It matches the Rfam family "Bacterial small subunit ribosomal RNA", at positions 1075 to 1533 of the family's 1533-position model. Lineage: Bacteria; Pseudomonadati; Pseudomonadota; Gammaproteobacteria; Enterobacterales; Enterobacteriaceae. The record is from RNAcentral.
UUGGGUUAAGUCCCGCAACGAGCGCAACCCUUAUCCUUUGUUGCCAGCGGUCCGGCCGGGAACUCAAAGGAGACUGCCAGUGAUAAACUGGAGGAAGGUGGGGAUGACGUCAAGUCAUCAUGGCCCUUACGACCAGGGCUACACACGUGCUACAAUGGCGCAUACAAAGAGAAGCGACCUCGCGAGAGCAAGCGGACCUCAUAAAGUGCGUCGUAGUCCGGAUUGGAGUCUGCAACUCGACUCCAUGAAGUCGGAAUCGCUAGUAAUCGUGGAUCAGAAUGCCACGGUGAAUACGUUCCCGGGCCUUGUACACACCGCCCGUCACACCAUGGGAGUGGGUUGCAAAAGAAGUAGGUAGCUUAACCUUCGGGAGGGCGCUUACCACUUUGUGAUUCAUGACUGGGGUGAAGUCGUAACAAGGUAACCGUAGGGGAACCUGCGGUUGGAUCACCUCCUUACCUUAAAGAAGC